This 623-nucleotide long non-coding RNA is filed under the name Equus caballus (horse). RNAcentral describes it as "lncRNA (ENSECAG00000041329.2)". The record is from RNAcentral. Lineage: Eukaryota; Metazoa; Chordata; Mammalia; Perissodactyla; Equidae.
UCAGGUUAUUCUCAAUGGUGCUGCUAUUUCACUGAUUUGAAGGUUCAGAAGAAAAAGUCUGCAUCCAGGGGCCGGCCCGGUGGUGCAGCGAAGUUUGCACGUUCUGCUUCAGCGGCCCGAGGAUUGCCAGUUCGGAUCCCGGUUGUGGACGUGGCACCACUUGGCAAGCCAUGCUGUGAAGAUCAGGGACAUGGAGUGAGGCAUAAGCCAUUGAAAGCUGCCCUGGCUUUUCCCUUCACGGUACACUGGGAGACACCAUGUGGUGCGAGGCAUUCAUUUGCAGUCUUUUAUUUCCAGAAACUGUGUGAAUCCAAGCUGGAUAUGGGCUUCUGAGGAGUGCAUCAGCUUCUUAAUCCCCACCUGACGCCAUCCUUUGCUGUUUGAAAAAAUAUUAUCCACGCCAGCAGCCAAUUUUGGGAGCUAUGUUCUACUCUGCUUCCUAAUUCUGGCAUUCAAUACCUUAUGAGGGCUGGAGCCCCAGGAGCCAUGGAAGCCAGUAUUGGAAUGGUGGGUCAGAAAGAUGGCAGGAGCUGGGUUCUCUGCUGCUCAUGGAGCUGUCAUAUCAAUCCUGUACUGCCUUCCUACAUUCUUCUUUGAUAUGAGAGGGAAAUAAAGCUUUAACU